GACGAACGCUGGCGGCGUGCCUAAUACAUGCAAGUAGAACGCUGAAGCGAGGAGCUUGCUCUUCUUGGAUGAGUUGCGAACGGGUGAGUAACGCGUAGGUAACCUGCCUUGUAGCGGGGGAUAACUAUUGGAAACGAUAGCUAAUACCGCGUAACAAUGGAUGACACAUGUCAUUUAUUUGAAAGGGGCAAUUGCUCCACUACAAGAUGGACCUGCGUCGUAUUAGCUAGUAGGUGAGGUAAUGGCUCACCUAGGCGACGAUACAUAGCCGACCUGAGAGGGUGAUCGGCCACACUGGGACUGAGACACGGCCCAGACUCCUACGGGAGGCAGCAGUAGGGAAUCUUCGGCAAUGGGGGCAACCCUGACCGAGCAACGCCGCGUGAGUGAAGAAGGUUUUCGGAUCGUAAAGCUCUGUUGUAAGUCAAGAACGGGUGUGAGAGUGGAAAGUUCACACUGUGACGGUAGCUUACCAGAAAGGGACGGCUAACUACGUG
This 497-nucleotide ribosomal RNA is filed under the name uncultured bacterium. Its description in RNAcentral is "partial 16S ribosomal RNA". It matches the Rfam family "Bacterial small subunit ribosomal RNA", at positions 28 to 507 of the family's 1533-position model. The record is from RNAcentral.